UACGUAGGGUGCGAGCGUUAAUCGGAAUUACUGGGCGUAAAGCGUGCGCAGGCGGUUUGUCGUGUCCGAUGUGAAAGCCCCGGGCUCAACCUGGGAAUGGCAUUGGAAACUGGCGGGCUUGAGUGUGGCAGAGGGGGGUGGAAUUCCGAGUGUAGAGGUGAAAUUCGUAGAUAUUCGGAAGAACACCAGUGGCGAAGGCGACUCGCUGGACAGACAUUGACGCUGAGGUGCGAAAGCGUGGGGAGCAAACAGG
This 253-nucleotide ribosomal RNA is filed under the name uncultured bacterium. RNAcentral describes it as "partial 16S ribosomal RNA". It matches the Rfam family "Bacterial small subunit ribosomal RNA", at positions 524 to 776 of the family's 1533-position model. The record is from RNAcentral.